RNAcentral lists this ribosomal RNA (470 nucleotides) under Selenomonas sp. oral taxon F30. Its description in RNAcentral is "bacterial SSU rRNA". It matches the Rfam family "Bacterial small subunit ribosomal RNA", at positions 28 to 474 of the family's 1533-position model. The record is from RNAcentral. Lineage: Bacteria; Bacillati; Bacillota; Negativicutes; Selenomonadales; Selenomonadaceae.
GACGAACGCUGGCGGCGUGCUUAACACAUGCAAGUCGAACGGAGCGAAUGAAAGCUUGCUUUUAUAAGCUUAGUGGCAAACGGGUGAGUAACACGUAGGCAACCUGCCGACAGGAUGGGGACAACAUUCCGAAAGGAAUGCUAAUACCGAAUGAAGCGGAGGGGAGACAUCUCCCUUCCGUGAAAGAUGGCCUCUAUUUAUAAGCUAUCACCUGUCGAUGGGCCUGCGUCUGAUUAGCUGGUAGGUGAGGUAACGGCUCACCUAGGCGACGAUCAGUAGCCGGUCUGAGAGGAUGAACGGCCACAUUGGAACUGAGACACGGCCCAGACUCCUACGGGAGGCAGCAGUGGGGAAUCUUCCGCAAUGGGCGCAAGCCUGACGGAGCAACGCCGCGUGAGUGAAGAAGGUCUUCGGAUCGUAAGGCUCUGUUGAUGGGGACGAACGUGCCUAAUGCGAAAUAGUAUUAGGUA